This 253-nucleotide ribosomal RNA is filed under the name uncultured bacterium. Its description in RNAcentral is "partial 16S ribosomal RNA". It matches the Rfam family "Bacterial small subunit ribosomal RNA", at positions 524 to 776 of the family's 1533-position model. The record is from RNAcentral.
UACGGAGGAGGCAAGCGUUAUCCGGAAUUAUUGGGCGUAAAGCGUCCGCAGGUGGCACUUCAAGUCUGUCGUCAAAGACUGGGGCUUAACCCCGGAAAGGCGGUGGAAACUGAAGCGCUAGAGUGCGGUAGGGGUAGAGGGAAUUCCCGGUGUAGCGGUGAAAUGCGUAGAGAUCGGGAAGAACAUCGGUGGCGAAAGCGCUCUACUGGACCGCAACUGACGCUCAGGGACGAAAGCUAGGGGAGCGAAUGGG